UUCACUUCCGAGUCUAUGUUUUCAUAUACCCUUUAUAAUUGAAGUCGAUGAAUGUAUUAGGCUUUGGCCAAUAAAACAAUACAACUUUCAACAAUGGAUCUCUUGGUUCUCGCAUCGAUGAAGAACGCAGCGAAUUGCGAUAUGUAAUGUGAAUUGCAGAAUUCAGUGAAUCAUCGAACCUUUGAACGCACCUUGCGCCCUUUGGUAUUCCGAAGGGCAUGCCUGUUUGAGUGUCAUUAAAUUCUCAACUUCAACACUUUUUUGUAUUGAAGCUUGGAUGUUGGAGGGUCUUGCGGGCAUAUAUUAAUGUCAGCUCCUCUUAAAUGCAUUAGCAGAACCUGUGUUCGGCUCUGGUUUGAUAAUCCUAUCUAUGCCAUUGCUGAAAUGUCAUUGUUCAGCUUCUAAUGGUCCAUUGGACUGUCUCUUCAGAGGCAUAUAUUUUGACUUGACCUCAAAUCAGGU
This 462-nucleotide ribosomal RNA is filed under the name uncultured fungus. RNAcentral describes it as "eukaryotic LSU rRNA". The stretch from base 83 to 236 matches the Rfam family "5.8S ribosomal RNA". The record is from RNAcentral. Lineage: Eukaryota; Fungi.